AUUGAACGCUGGCGGCAGGCUUAACACAUGCAAGUCGAGCGGGGGAAGGUAGCUUGCUACUGGACCUAGCGGCGGACGGGUGAGUAAUGCUUAGGAAUCUGCCUAUUAGUGGGGGACAACAUCUCGAAAGGGAUGCUAAUACCGCAUACGUCCUACGGGAGAAAGCAGGGGAUCUUCGGACCUUGCGCUAAUAGAUGAGCCUAGGUCGGAUUAGCUAGUUGGUGGGGUAAAGGCCUACCAAGGCGACGAUCUGUAGCGGGUCUGAGAGGAUGAUCCGCCACACUGGGACUGAGACACGGCCCAGACUCCUACUGGAGGCAGCAGUGGGGAAUAUUGGACAAUGGGGGGAACCCUGAUCCAGCCAUGCCGCGUGUGUGAAGAAGGCCUUAUGGUUGUAAAGCACUUUAAGCGAGGAGGAGGCUACUCUAGUUAAUACCUAGGGAUAGUGGACGUUACUCGCAGAAUAAGCACCGGCUAACUCUGUGCCAGCCGCCGCGGUAA
Molecule: ribosomal RNA, 501 nt
Filed under: uncultured bacterium
Lineage: Bacteria
Description: partial 16S ribosomal RNA
Rfam family: Bacterial small subunit ribosomal RNA
Source: RNAcentral